UGUUGACACUAUUGAAGGCAUAAGGUUGUGUACACAAUCCAAAACAUCACACAUUUUAUGUUCAUCAAGGCAAUUAAAGGUUUUUAGGUACUAAAAUCAAAUCUGAAAGGCAUUCUUUUGAUAAUGAAACUGGAACAGAUGUAGAUUCAACUGUCAUUUGUCUACACUCUAUUGCUAGUGAAGGUGACUCGAUAUAAUCCCUUGAAACAUAGGAAACUUGAAAGCAAUUACCACUCUUGAGCUUGAUGGGGUCUGGGAGACAGUACCCUUUUUGCUGUUUUCACAUCAAUAUAUUGAGGAUAGAAUAUACGGUUAGGUAGCUGGGCAUUGUAGCUGGAAGGCCUUCUCGGGUUGUUUUCCAUCGAUUGUUGAAUGGUGAGGGACAUCAGCAGGCAUCUUUUCAGCAGAGAGACUUGUUUCAUCAAACACUUUAAUGACUUCUUGGUAAACAAUGGCAUUACCGUCUGGUGUGAGAUGUAAGCCAUCACUGAGGAAUUUUUUUUGCCAACCCUCUGUUUCCUGCAUUUUAGACCACAGAUUGACGGAAGGGAGACCUAGCUCCUUUGCCAAUUCAACACACUGUUUUGCAUACUCUCCGGCUACUUCAUUUGUCCUUUCUGGCAAUUGCAUUGCUUUGUCUCCAUACUGGGACCUUGCAUAUUCAAACCGUCCUGCUUCAUCAAUUGGUGGUGGAGUUAUCAGCAAUAACAGCACCGAUGGGGAGCAUUUCUUAAAAUGUUGUAUCAUUUUUCGUAGGUUUUCCUUAUAUUCCUCAAGUGGGACAUGUUGUCUUUCACUGGUUCUUCCCAAAAGAGCAGCAUCAUUGGCUCCAAAAAAUAUAGUGACAGCAACAGGAUGUGUUGGAGCGUUCAAUGGAAAUAGGUGAUGCAGCAAGAACAAUGCCCAUCUGGUGUUGUAUCCGCCAUAGCCACGAUUCAAUAUAUCAGCCUUGCGAGCAUAAGUAUCAGCAAGAGCAGCACCCCAACCACCUAACUUAAAGGAUUGUUGAGUAAUGGAGUCUCCAAAUAUUACUAUUUGUGGCCUCAUUCACUUAAACUAAAUUCUUCGAUGUUUUUGUUUUUCCUGUUUUUUCUUUGCACAAUGAGACCACAAAUUCGGGUGAUCGAAGGGA
Molecule: unclassified non-coding RNA, 1132 nt
Filed under: Hevea brasiliensis (rubber tree)
Lineage: Eukaryota; Viridiplantae; Streptophyta; Magnoliopsida; Malpighiales; Euphorbiaceae
Source: RNAcentral